RNAcentral lists this ribosomal RNA (956 nucleotides) under uncultured bacterium. RNAcentral's name for it is "bacterial SSU rRNA". It matches the Rfam family "Bacterial small subunit ribosomal RNA", at positions 522 to 1478 of the family's 1533-position model. The record is from RNAcentral.
AAUACGGAGGGUGCGAGCGUUAAUCGGAAUUACUGGGCGUAAAGCGCAUGCAGGUGGUUUGUUAAGUCAGAUGUGAAAGCCCGGGGCUCAACCUCGGAAUUGCAUUUGAAACUGACAGACUAGAGUACUGUAGAGGGGGGUAGAAUUUCAGGUGUAGCGGUGAAAUGCGUAGAGAUCUGAAGGAAUACCGGUGGCGAAGGCGGCCCCCUGGACAGAUACUGACACUCAGAUGCGAAAGCGUGGGGAGCAAACAGGAUUAGAUACCCUGGUAGUCCACGCCGUAAACGAUGUCUACUUGGAGGUUGUGGCCUUGAGCCGUGGCUUUCGGAGCUAACGCGUUAAGUAGACCGCCUGGGGAGUACGGUCGCAAGAUUAAAACUCAAAUGAAUUGACGGGGGCCCGCACAAGCGGUGGAGCAUGUGGUUUAAUUCGAUGCAACGCGAAGAACCUUACCUACUCUUGACAUCCAUAGAACUUUCCAGAGAUGGAUUGGUGCCUUCGGGAACUAUGAGACAGGUGCUGCAUGGCUGUCGUCAGCUCGUGUUGUGAAAUGUUGGGUUAAGUCCCGCAACGAGCGCAACCCUUAUCCUUGUUUGCCAGCACUUCGGGUGGGAACUCCAGGGAGACUGCCGGUGAUAAACCGGAGGAAGGUGGGGACGACGUCAAGUCAUCAUGGCCCUUACGAGUAGGGCUACACACGUGCUACAAUGGCGCAUACAGAGGGCGGCCAACUUGCAAAAGUGAGCGAAUCCCAAAAAGUGCGUCGUAGUCCGGAUUGGAGUCUGCAACUCGACUCCAUGAAGUCGGAACCGCUAGUAAUCGUGGAUCAGAAUGCCACGGUGAAUACGUUCCCGGGCCUUGUACACACCGCCCGUCACACCAUGGGAGUGGGCUGCAAAAGAAGUGGGUAGUUUAACCUUCGGGGGGACGCUCACCACUUUGUGGUUCAUGACUGG